CGGGGGGAGCGGGGAACGCGGCCCCUUCCCCGGCUCAGGAGCCGCGGGGACCCGCUGGGAGAUACUGGGAGAGACUGGGAUCUGCUGGGAUCCACUGGGAGAAGCCGGGAUCCACUCGGGGAUAAGGGAAUCCACGGGGGGAUAUGGGGAUCUGCUGGGAUCUGAGACGGGCCCUUGGGAUCUGCUGGGAUCCACUGGGAUCCACUGGGGGGUGCAGGGAUCUGAUGGGAGCUCUUGGGACCUGCUGGGAUCCACUGGGGGAUACUGGAAUCUGCUGGGAUUGCAUGGGAGCUGUCAGAUCUACUGUGAUCCACUGGGAGAUACUGGGAUCCAUUGGGGGAUAUUGGGAUGUGAGAGGAUCUUCUGGGAUCCAGUGAGGGGGGUGAUGGGAUCCACUGGGAGAUACUGGGACAUGAGAGGAUCUUCUGGGAUAUGCUGGGAUCAACUGGGGGAAGCGGGAUCUGCUGGGAGAUACUGGAAUCCACUGGGAUCUGAGAGGAGCAUUUGGGAUCUGCUGGGAUCACCAGGAGAAUGCUGGGAUCCACUGGAGUCUGAGAGGAGCUGUUGGGACAGGCUGGGAUCCACUGGGGGUGCUGGGAUCCACUAGAAUCUGACAGGAGCGAUUGGGAUCUUCUGGGAUCCUCUAGGAUCUGCUGGGAUCCACUGGGAGAUACUGGGAUCUGCUGGGACACACCGAGUUCCUCUGGGACCCACAGGGACCCGAUGGGAUCCACUGGGAUCUGUUGUAGCCCACUAGGAUCUGCUGGGAUCCAUUGGGAGAUGCUGGGUUUUUUUGGGGGACCUGCUGGGACCCUCUGAGAUCCACUGGAAUCUACUGGGACCUGCUGGAAUGUUCUAGGACUUGCUGGGAUCCAUUGGGACACGCUGGGAUCCACUGGCCUUCACUGGGAUCUGCUGGAACUCACUGGGACCCUCUGGGAUCUACUGGGAUCCUCUGGAGUUUGGGGUUUUCCCCCCUCAAAUUCCCAGGAAAAGCAGGAGGUCAGCCUGCACAAGGCAUCAGCUGAAGAGGUUUUUGGCCUCCCAGGAGCUUGGAUGUGCCCAGGAUUUGGUGGGAGGAUGUCACAGGGACUGGAUGUGCUGGAGAACCCCUGAAUUCAGGAUCUGGGAUUCCCCUGUGCCAAUCCCCCACCAAAGGGACUUCAGAGGACACGAAGGGAAGGAAAGGGCUCGAGGAGUGCAUCCCCAGCUCUGGAAUGGGCUCUGGCCCUGCCUGGAGCACACACUAGGCUCUGCUCUAAUUAAAGACCAUAACCCACCUCAAUUAACACUCGUGGGGCCUGUUCCCUGCACAGCCACGAGGAGCCAGCACAGCUGAGGGCAGGCACUCGGCAGAGCUGAGCCAAGCCAGAAAUUGUCUUUUCUGCCCCAUCCCCCUGUGCUCCAUCCACACUGGGACUGUGGAAGGGCUGAGCUGAGCUUGGGAGAGAUCCCAGAUCACCGUGGGAUCACUGAAAUCCAAGGACUCAGUCAGUUAAAGCUGAGCCAGGGGUUCCAGGCUUGAGGGGGUUGAUUGCACCUCCAUCUCCGAGGGAAUUGUGAAAAAUGCGUAUUUUAUGAUUGGCUCUUCGCAAAUAUUAAUUGAAUACUCUAUGUAUUAUGGA
Molecule: long non-coding RNA, 1625 nt
Organism: Vidua chalybeata
Lineage: Eukaryota; Metazoa; Chordata; Aves; Passeriformes; Viduidae
Exons: 2
Source: RefSeq, a predicted model, not a curated record